AACGAACGCUGGCGGCAUGCUAAACACAUGCAAGUCGAACGCUUCAUCGGGGCUUGCUCCGAUGGGGAGUGGCGCACGGGUGAGUAGCGCGUGGGAACCUGCCCAGUAGUGGGGGAUAACCGAGGGAAACUUCGGCUAAUACCGCAUGCGCCCGGGGGAGUGAUCUUCCGGGGAAAGAUUUUAUCGCUAUUGGAGGGGCCCGCGUCGGAUUUAGCUUGUUGGUGGGGUAACGCCUACCAGGCAUUGAUCCGUAGCUGGUCUGAGAGGAUGAUCAGCCACACUGGGACUGAGACACGGGCCAGACUCCUACGGGAGGCAGCAGUGGGGAAUAUUGGACAAUGGGCGCAAGCCUGAUCCAGCAAUGCCGCGUGAGUGAGGAAGGCCUUAGGGUUGUAAAGCUCUUUCGCACGCGACGAUGAUGACGGUA
Molecule: ribosomal RNA, 427 nt
Filed under: uncultured bacterium
Lineage: Bacteria
Description: bacterial SSU rRNA
Rfam family: Bacterial small subunit ribosomal RNA
Source: RNAcentral